Molecule: long non-coding RNA, 1216 nt
Filed under: Homo sapiens (human)
Lineage: Eukaryota; Metazoa; Chordata; Mammalia; Primates; Hominidae
Description: HSALNT0344131
Source: RNAcentral
GUGUAGAGGUGACACCACCUCGGCCAUCACCAGCCCCAUGAAGGGACUUCUACCCAGCAGCCCCACUGGGUGGGAGCGCCCAUUUCUACUGCCCGCAUGUCUGUCUGUGCAGUUUAGGAAUGCCAGGGCUGGUGCUUAGGCUGGGCACACUGUGCGGGGGACAUGCCGCCCUGCUCCCUGUGCCUGGCACCUAGAAAUGAACACUUUACGGGAAUGGAACCCAGGGCACGACCAUCUCAGCCCGCGGAACGAUCCAGCCCAACUGGUGAGAACUCCCGCUCUUGGUGUUGGGGGCCAGGCAGGGUUCGUGGAGAGGGUCCUUAUAACCUGCUCAGCCCCCUAGCCAGAGCAAUCCUACACAUCGCUGAGCCCUCUUCGGGAUGAGAAUGCGCACCCUCAGCCCAGCCGUAUCCUCUGCCCCUGCCCCUGCCCCUACCCAGGGAGGGCAGUCCUGGGGGUCCCAGGGCAGGCAUGGACCAGGACUAGCGUUACCAGCACUGACCUGCCCAGUCCAUCCCCCAGCCCCAGCAAGGCUGGGUCCAGGGCUUCCACCCCUCCAUGCACAGCCCACGCCAGCUGGGUUCCACAGGAUCCUUUUAAAUCACAAUUCCAAAGCGGGCUGUCCACAGGCAAGGAAGCCAGGAGCCUGUUCACACAAAUGCUCGCUGUUCAGGGCAGGCUGCCCAAGUCACCCCUUCCUGGUGUCCCCAGACCUGGGCUACUAAGUCCUGGGGGUCCGGAAGGCAGGGUUAGUCCCAGGUAACCACAGGGACGCUCCAGGGAUCCCUGCUGAAGGACAAGGACCUUCUCCUCCUCCUCCUCUUCCUCCUCCUGCAUCUCAGCCUCCCCAGCAGCCACAGCCAAGAGCCCUGCCAAGCCGAUGGGACCCACGCAAUCAAUAAGCAGGUGAUAGCUUCUUCAGGUCACUCCUUUGGGUAGCAGGCAUGUAUCAGAUCUGGAGCUCCAUCACCCUGCUGGGAGUUCAGACAUCGUGUCUUAUAGCUACGUGGCACUCACAGGUUGUCCUUGUCCCGAAACAAAACAAAGUGAAGCAAUAACAACCCGCCAGACUCAUUUCCUGCUGUGGAACCUAAAAUCUCAACCAUUUAGUAACUCUUUGGGUUUCAAGAACUGUGGCCCUAGAAGGGUCCUGCCAGAGUGCAGUGAUGUUCCCCAUCACUAUGGUCGCUUGUGCCUCACCAGUGUCUCCAGUUCG